AUUGAACGCUGGCGGCAGGCCUAACACAUGCAAGUCGAACGAGUGGGGACGGGUGAGUAACACGUGGGUAACCUCCCAUCAGAGGGGAUAACACUUGGAAACAGGUGCUAAACCGAUAUUGAUGGAUGGACCCGCUGUGCAUUAGCUAGUUGGUGAGGUAACGGCUCACCAAGGCCACGAUGCAUAGCCGACCUGAGAGGGUGAUCGGCCACACUGGGACUGAGACACGGCCCAGACUCCUACGGGAGGCAGCAGUAGGGAAUCUUCGGCAAUGGACGAAAGUCUGACCGAGCAACGCCGCGUGAGUGAAGAAGGUUUUCGGAUCGUAAAACUCUGUUGUUAGAGAAGCGGUAUCUAACCAGAAAGCCACGGCUAACUACGUGCCAGCAGCCGCGGUAAUUC
RNAcentral lists this ribosomal RNA (402 nucleotides) under uncultured bacterium. RNAcentral's name for it is "partial 16S ribosomal RNA". It matches the Rfam family "Bacterial small subunit ribosomal RNA", at positions 30 to 526 of the family's 1533-position model. The record is from RNAcentral.